Molecule: ribosomal RNA, 436 nt
Filed under: uncultured bacterium
Lineage: Bacteria
Description: bacterial SSU rRNA
Rfam family: Bacterial small subunit ribosomal RNA
Source: RNAcentral
AUGGGAACGCGAAGAACCUUACCUAGACUUGACAUCUCCUGAAUAGUGUAGAGAUACAUGAAGCCCUUCGGGGCAGGAAGACAGGUGGUGCAUGGUUGUCGUCAGCUCGUGUCGUGAGAUGUUGGGUUAAGUCCCGCAACGAGCGCAACCCUUAUUACUAGUUGCUAACAUUAAGUUGAGCACUCUAGUGAGACUGCCCGGGUUAACCGGGAGGAAGGCGGGGAUGACGUCAAAUCAUCAUGCCCCUUAUGUCUAGGGCUACACACGUGCUACAAUGGUGGGAACAAAGAGAUGCAAUACCGCAAGGUGGAGCUAAACUCAAAACCCCAUCCCAGUUCGGAUUGUAGGCUGAAACUCGCCUACAUGAAGCUGGAGUUGCUAGUAAUCGCGAAUCAGAAUGUCGCGGUGAAUACGUUCCCGGGUCUUGUACACACCG